RNAcentral lists this ribosomal RNA (468 nucleotides) under uncultured bacterium. RNAcentral describes it as "partial 16S ribosomal RNA". It matches the Rfam family "Bacterial small subunit ribosomal RNA", at positions 28 to 507 of the family's 1533-position model. The record is from RNAcentral.
GACGAACGCUGGCGGCGUGCUUAACACAUGCAAGUCGAACGGAAAGGCCCUGCUCUUGUGGCGUUCUCGAUUGGCGAACGGGUGAGUAACACGUGAGUAACCUGCCCUUGACUUUGGGAUAACUUCAGGAAACUGGGGCUAAUAUCGGAGAGGAUCUCCUGCUGCACGGGGGGGGUUGGAAAGUGUCGGCGGUUGGGGAUGGACUCGCUGCUUAUCAGCUUGUUGGUGGGGUAGUUGCUUACCAAGGGUUUGACGGGUAGCCGGCAUGAGAGGGUUAACGGCGUCCAUGGGACUACGAUACGGAGCAGAAUCGUACGGGAGGCAGAAGGGGAGAACCUUGCAGAACGGGGCGAAGCCUGAUGCAGCAACGCCGCGUGCGGGAUGCCCGCCUUCGGGUUGUAAACAGCUUUCGAAUGUGCCGAAGCGUGCGUGACGGUAAUGAGUAAAGAAGCAACGGCUAACUACGUG